UCUGCCACCUAUGUAACCUGAGCCUGGCGCCCCCAAAUGUGACCAGCAGCUGCCCGUUAUGAGGGCUCUGCGUGCCCACAUUCGGGCGCUGCGACCUGGCAUGCGCGGUUGCUUGCCGCCCUCAGCCGAGCUUGCCCAUAGCUAGAGCGACGUCUUUGUGCGAAGUCCAUAUGCAAGUAACGGGCCGUGGGCGUGCAAAGCACGGGGGUGUGCCGUGCUCCAACCCCGCCUGCAGCCCGAGCUAGAGAUGUGCCCGAGUGCCCGACUACCGCCCCGUCGCUGAGGGUCCCGCGCGCGCACAGGACCCCUAAGGCCACCGGCGCUGAGGGGUCAUGGAGGCAAGGGACCGUUCCCGCGCGCUCCCGAGCCGCGUACGCGCCCAGCGCGCUCCCUGCUGUGACGCAGCCACCUCCACCACCCGCUUCUAGGCAGUCAGGUGACUCCACCUUCUUGUGACGUCAGCUCAGCAGUGGCGUCUGAGGCAGGUGGCAAGAGGGCGAGUGAGAGAGCGAGAAGCGGGGCUGCUAGGCGCGCAGGGCCAUAGAGGGAGAAUCCUGGAGAUUUAUUAUCAGUCAGUAGUCCAAUCACACUUCUGCCCUGUGGUGCCAACAGCAGCAAUUUUCAAUUGAUGGAAUCAUACAGUUCUAGAGGAAUGCUAGGAGCCAGUGGAGUUUGGGAAGGGGGAGACAUCUAGAACAGAGG
Chrysemys picta bellii (western painted turtle) is the source of this 702-nucleotide non-coding RNA. The record is from RefSeq and is a predicted model, not a curated record. Lineage: Eukaryota; Metazoa; Chordata; Testudines; Emydidae.